UAUCAGUAAACCGUCUGCAUACAAGAUGACUUCGAUUAAUCUCCUCGGCCCUCCUAUGUGGUCAGAAAGCGCCUUCAGCAAAAUGAAAAAUAAAAGAAGGCUCAGGUAGUCCACCUGAGCCAGCCCAGUUGUCUGUGUGAAAGACGGGAGUAGGACCACUACGUCGUCGACGGCUAUUCUGCUCUUCUGUAGAAUUGCAGUGAAAGGCUUGAACGCAUUCAUAGGGACACCCGGUUUGGCCACCUGAACAUAACGAUGUACGUAGGUGUUAAGUCAAAAGCUGACUUGGAAGUCGGCGAACACCGCAUAUAGCUGAUUACCAGUGAUAAGUGACCAGUGCUUUCUUAGCGUCGGUCAUGAAGAUCUUGCACGCUGUUUUUGUGGACAUUAUCUCCGGAAUCAAUGCUGCUUCUACGCUUUCUAAGCAGCUGUUCGGCUUAUUAGUUAACAAGAGGAGAGCAGCCUUUGUUCGAUGUUUUCUACCAAAUAACAGCGUGGUUGGGUCGCCCUUCUUUUCAGAGAUCACUAACAGGGCAGCAUCUCUACACUGUGCUGGGAAUGUACCAGUAAGUAAACGUUUAUUAAACAGUGCCAUCCAGAACGGUGCCAAAGCAACGGCGCAUUUGAGAUGUUUGUUGUAGAUCCUAUCUGGGCCGGUGACUUUUUCGUUGAGUAAGGUCCCAAGAACUUCCAUCCUGUCCCGCACCUUGAAGCUGUGUUAAGGGAUAUCACGUUGUAUUGUUGCUACAGCGAAAAAGGACACUGUGCACGGUAUCCCAUCUCCAGAAAUCGCAAACACAUUUGAGAAAUUAUUUAUGAGGGCUGACGAGUUAACCAGCCACUGAGCUACCAUGGUGCGUUAACCGCCUGUAUCAUUUAAGUUCUCUAUUGGCGACUGAAGCUGUCCAGCCAUUCAAGUUAUUGUUUCCGUUACGAUGUAUAUGUUUUUCUCCGAAGUGUCUUAAGAAUUGGUGCUGAAGGGUAAAACUCGGGCUAUACCUCGGCUAAUCGGCUGGACAGGCUAUAGACUAAAAAUCCACAACCAGUUGCUAAGCAUAAGUUUCAGUACUCGUCGUGUCAAGUUCGAGAAAAGCUUUGUAAGUGUGUUCCAGAAACUUGUCUACAUGUAGGCUUCAUGAUAGAACUUGGCAUUUGACGGUCCGCGUCGAUGGAACUUGCAGUGAGGCUUAUCGCCAUCGGUAUAUGGACAUGGACGUUUGCGCUUUCUGAGAGAAAAUGAUUUUCACCCUGGAAUUUCCUUCUACUUCUGGUUGCGUUCGUCGCAAAUAGAUUGAUAAUUGAACUUCCUGCAUGUCCUAUAAAAAUCGGUGUUAAGGUAGGAUUGAUCAUCGGCAAUGGCCAGAGAGAGGCAGAAUGAGAGAAUGGAGCCUUCAACCGACUGACGAGGUUCUCCAUCAGUACGCACGUCAGUCCUGAUUUUGAUUUGAACAUAGAUUGCUACUAGAUUUAGCCGCUGGCCAUUGAUUCCCUACUACUCAGAUCGCCUUUCUUAUGAUAGUAGAAAACGGAGACGCCCUCAUUACGACUGCAUGGUCCAUCGGUUUUUAGCGUACGUCAGCGUACACAAUAGAAAUGACAUAAGUUAAAAAAAUCUAGUUUCCCAAGUCUUCGUUAGCAUACGUGUCUAUGCCGUCCAGGGCUUCGGCAGAAAGAUGCACCGGCAGUGCGGUCCCCGAAGAUUCUGCUAUGCAGCUUUUAACGUCUUCUCAAAGUCCAGUUUCACUGUAAGAUCCGGAAUGUCCUCGCGGGCGCCUGUGGUAAUUCAAUGGUGUCGCGUACUGGGGCCAGCCCACCGGUACUGCUGGAACAUGCUUCACGAAGUCCUCGAUCGCCGGGACGGGCAAGUGUAACUACGGGCCUGUUGGUCGUAGCCCGAGUGAUCGAACUGGUCUGCGUGACCCAUCGCCGGCUUUUUCCACCACUGGCGUUGUUUAUUAUGACGAGAGAAAGGUUGGGCUGCUCGAGGGUUUUUUGGAAAUGUUCCGUAUUUCACAAUCAACCACCAUCACCAAAAGCUACAUGCUUCUACUUUGCUUUUAAGUUUGACAUUUGUCCUUCCAGUUCCAUCAGUCGAUAAUACAGAAGCGCAACGAGACCCCCUAAUUCAUUCUCCAACUUACACAUUUUUCAAAUAGUUCACAAACUCUUCUGUUGACUAGUCUGAUACUGGUACUAAGCAUGCCGUUAGAACGCCGCCAUUUACCUGCUGGAUCAGUUCUUAGAGUAGCGAUCUGACAAGCGACAUGUAUUCAUCUGUUACUCAUCGGGCGACAUACAUGGACACUGCCUUAGGUACAGUUGUUGCACACCAUUCGCAAACAUUAAUGAUGCGUAGUCAUGAUUCAUUCGGACAUAGUGAUUGUAGAAUAGAGAACAGAGUUGUUUCCGAGUGUUGGCGUAUGCCACGACAAAUGUAAGCUGUAUAUCAUUUGUUGUUGCCGUUAUCCUGUGUUAUUGUGUUAAGUAUAGGCCGGCGUAAUUCGCGCUAUCCCGUCAUAUAAGGGGCACUCGGAAUGGCUUAAUAGUGUAUUCGUGGGUGGACUGCACUCGAUCAACGGGACCAGCUGCCUUCCACUCUUUUAGUUCAAGGAAUGGGUGUGUAGAUGUUCUUGCAAGGUCGAUCAGCAGAUUCUCAAAACGCCGCUUGCCCAUAAUCCCACGAGAAUAGCAGGAAUCCUGGGGUAUAUGAAAUGCAGACGGCUCGACUGAACCUACGAGGCCUAAGAAGGUUCAGCAGCACUUCCUAAAAAGGCAUAUCGGCCAAGAAGCACACGCACGUACAACUACAGCACUCAUCAGUCAGCUGAUAUAAAUGUCUGAUGUAAAUCAUCGAAUCGGGUUUAUUUUUUUUUUUAUGUUGAAAUACUUUAUCAUUUUCGUUAGUUGAAUUGAAAGCUGUUUAAGGGAGGAUGUGUAUUUCUUCAUAGUCUACCUGUUUGCUACUUGUUGUUACUAUAUCUAGCUAUGGCUUUCGUUUCGUCUACUUUUCUUAGAUCUACUAUCUUUUCGUAAUCAAAAUCUUGAUAGAUCAGAGUUUAGCAUAGGUAUAAGCAUAAGUGGCAUGAUUUCUACGGGAUGCGGAUAACGAUCCUGAAGAUGUUUAAUAGUGGCGCUUGAAGAUGUUUUUGCGGUGCUAGCACAAUGUGACGAAUCGAUUGCCGCACUUCAAAAACAAAAAAGAAAAUGGCGAACACUGCGUUAGUGCGUGGUCAGAUGUCGAUAGCAUUGGAAAUAGUAACAAUAAAGCUAAUUAUAAUUCAGCAGAUUCACAGUGGCUUCUAUUAUCUAGGAUUUGUUCGCACGAGGAAUGUAGCUUCGGGUGUAGUUUGCCUAAAGAGUAAUCCAGAUUAGGUUGCUGUACGAACGAAGACGGAGGAACUGAUGACGACUUAGACUCAGUUCGCUCGAGUCGCUCUGCGAUAUAUAUACAACUCCACAUUAAUCAAUCGCGCGAUAGAACGCUCACGAUCCAAUAUAUUCGGCCUUAUUAUGAGUAAGCUCACUGACGGCCGAAACGCUGGUGACGGUUUAUGCAAGCUUCAUUUACUAUUUCAUGUUAUGACGUUUGUCGGCCACGAUGCCUUCGCGCUGUUUAUUGUCAUAUUGCGGCCGCCACUGAUGCCCUGAGUGACUCCUGCGCCACUGCUAUAUCACAGCGGGUAAACAUAGGGGUUGCCGAGAUGGGA
RNAcentral lists this long non-coding RNA (3707 nucleotides) under Varroa destructor (honeybee mite). Its description in RNAcentral is "uncharacterized LOC111245738". The record is from RNAcentral. Lineage: Eukaryota; Metazoa; Arthropoda; Arachnida; Mesostigmata; Varroidae.